Molecule: long non-coding RNA, 763 nt
Organism: Cyanistes caeruleus (blue tit)
Lineage: Eukaryota; Metazoa; Chordata; Aves; Passeriformes; Paridae
Source: RefSeq, a predicted model, not a curated record
GUUCAGUAGUCACUGCAAAACCACCUCAUCAAUGUUACAUUUGGAGUGCCUUAAAAGUUUGUUUGGGAUAUUUUGUCCUCUUCCCUGGAGUUCCGAAGUCAGAAGGGUAGAAAAUUGACAGAUUUUUUUUGCCCCAGGUUUCCUGUUCAAGAAAAAUCCAGCUGCUGUUUGGCUCAGAUGUUUUACCAAAGAGCACAGAGAAGAAGAGGCCAGCUCACUCUGAGAUAACCUACCCAGGCACUCGUGCAAUCUGCUGCUGUUGGGACACAGGGACACAUGCAGCUCCCAUUUCCACUUGAACGCUGCAAUUACUGGGGGCAUGAAGCUAUCCAAAAUAAACUCACAUAAUGGGCUGUGGUGGUUUUUUAACCUUCAGCAUUGGCCUGUCUCACAUCCUUUGGAAUGAUACCAGAUGAUCAACCUCCUUUCCUUUGGGGAAGAGGGUCCAUACCGCUGUGAAGAAUUUGAGCCUGGGGAAAAGAGAUUCCCUAUUCACCUGGAUGCCUUUCUGACAGUUAGGACUCAUUGCAUAGAUGAGCUCUCCUGAUUGCCUGUUACAAAAACAGGUGCUAAAAUAAACUAAUAGUGAUGGAGCACAGGAACUACCACUGCAGCACUCACAAGAGCAUGUCACAGCCUGGCCUAAACUUUGUCUUCUACCUACUCCAGCAAGAUAAACAAGGAGCACCACAUCUUGCUCCAGGCUGUCACCACACUCUUCAUUGGCCUCUGUGUUGCUAUGAAUAAAAUUAUUACUUUAAGG